UGCAUGAACCUUUCAUCUCUCCAAAUACAUGAACCUUUUAUCUCCCCAAAUACAUGAACCAUUAAAUACGUGAAGCCCAUAAAUGAUAUAAAUAUUAAACUUUAAUAUUAAAAUGCACCAACAGUAUCUAACCUUCACCCUAGAAUAGUACAUCCAUCCUUAGAAGUGCACUGAAUCUCGAUCAUUGUAUAUAAUGAAUCCCCUAGUAAACCAAUUUGGAUCAUGGUACCCAAAAUGGGGGGACUAAAAUUAAAUGGGGAUGUUAAGGAAAUCUAGUAUAUAUUCGAAGAAUCUAAGGGAAAUCGAUCCCUAACCUUGGUUUGACUACAAGGAUACGCAUUAGCCAUCCAGGCCAAUAAAAGAACAGUUGGCUGGAAUUGCUGAUGUACAGCUGUUGCAAGCAAGAUAUCUUUCACCGUUCCCCAAUUUCUAAAUCUACAAAUAGCUCACAAGGGAUGCUAUAUGUUCUGAAAAACAGGGGAUUUUCAAAAUGAAGUCGUCAUCUCUAGAGGUCUUCAUCGUUUUCUCUCUCCUCUUCUCAAUUCUAGUCACCUCUUCGGCCUGGUCUGUGCCAACCUCCCAUUUCCGAGUAAAAGGUAAGAAUGUAGUAGCUGAGAGGGCUUCCCAAGGUGCUGAAGGCAUUGCAAGGUUGUCACCUUUUACACCGCCAGCACCGAAGGCUAACGGGCAUCCUGACCCUCCUCCCGUUAUGAAUCCAUGAGAGCAAAGGAUGCCAAAGUGAUUGCUAAGUCACUUGUCUCCCUUGUUUACUUCCAUCUUGUAGAACUUGAUCACUUCUCCAAAUAAAUAUGAUCAAGAAGAAGGGAUGCAUUCAUGCGUUGGCCCUUUAAGAGGCUCUGUUCUAAAUGUUUUAUGAGCAUCGCUUGCUGAUCAGUU
Non-coding RNA from Phoenix dactylifera (date palm), 897 nucleotides. The record is from RefSeq and is a predicted model, not a curated record. NCBI's taxonomy places the organism in Eukaryota, Viridiplantae, Streptophyta, Magnoliopsida, Arecales, Arecaceae.